UACGCUCUAUAACCCUUUGUGAACAUACCUAUAACUGUUGCUUCGGCGGGUAGGGUCUCCGUGACCCUCCCGGCCUCCCGCCCCCGGGCGGGUCGGCGCCCGCCGGAGGAUAACCAAACUCUGAUUUAACGACGUUUCUUCUGAGUGGUACAAGCAAAUAAUCAAAACUUUUAACAACGGAUCUCUUGGUUCUGGCAUCGAUGAAGAACGCAGCGAAAUGCGAUAAGUAAUGUGAAUUGCAGAAUUCAGUGAAUCAUCGAAUCUUUGAACGCACAUUGCGCCCGCCAGCAUUCUGGCGGGCAUGCCUGUUCGAGCGUCAUUUCAACCCUCAAGCUCUGCUUGGUGUUGGGGCCCUACAGCUGAUGUAGGCCCUCAAAGGUAGUGGCGGACCCUCCCGGAGCCUCCUUUGCGUAGUAACUUUACGUCUCGCACUGGGAUCCGGAGGGACUCUUGCCGUAAAACCCCCAAUUUUCCAAAGGUUGACCUCGGAUCAGGUAGGAAUACCCGCUGAACUUAAGCA
This 520-nucleotide ribosomal RNA is filed under the name Colletotrichum aenigma. Its description in RNAcentral is "eukaryotic LSU rRNA". The stretch from base 166 to 319 matches the Rfam family "5.8S ribosomal RNA". Lineage: Eukaryota; Fungi; Ascomycota; Sordariomycetes; Glomerellales; Glomerellaceae. The record is from RNAcentral.